CUUUCCGGUGAUUAUAGCAAGAGGGAAACGCCUGGUUCCAUUCCGAACCCAGAAGCUAAGACUCUUCGCGCCGAUGGUACUGCACUUUUGUGGGUGUGGGAGAGUAGGUCAUCGCCGGUUU
This 121-nucleotide ribosomal RNA is filed under the name Rothia mucilaginosa. The record is from RNAcentral. Lineage: Bacteria; Bacillati; Actinomycetota; Actinomycetes; Micrococcales; Micrococcaceae.